This is a long non-coding RNA of Paramacrobiotus metropolitanus, 150 nucleotides long. RefSeq lists it as uncharacterized. The record is from RefSeq and is a predicted model, not a curated record. The transcript is spliced from 3 exons. Lineage: Eukaryota; Metazoa; Tardigrada; Eutardigrada; Parachela; Macrobiotidae.
CCCAACUCGAAAAUCUUUAUGAAGGAACGCAAACGGAUAUUCAAUCCAGACAAGUAAUAUUACCAGAUGUAUCAGCAAUUGCUAGUGAUUCUGGUUCAACGCCUUCUGAACCACAGGAACCAGCAAUCCAAGAGGGUAUGGAAACACUCG